CGUGUAGGCGGUAUUGUAAGUCAGAUGUAAAAGGCUACGGCUUAACCGUAGAUUGUCAUUUGAAACUACAGUACUUGAGUGCGAGAGAGGGUAGUGGAAUUCCCAGUGUAGCGGUGAAAUGCGUAGAUAUGUGGAGGAACACCGAUGGCGAAGGCAACCUCCUGGGUCAUUACUGACGCUGAGGCGCGAAAGCUAGGGUAGCGAACAGGAUUAGAUACCCUGGUAGUCC
This 229-nucleotide ribosomal RNA is filed under the name uncultured bacterium. RNAcentral describes it as "partial 16S ribosomal RNA". It matches the Rfam family "Bacterial small subunit ribosomal RNA", at positions 568 to 796 of the family's 1533-position model. The record is from RNAcentral.